GGGGAUAGCUCAGUGAUGGAGUGCAUGCUUAACAUGCAUGAGGUCCUGGGUUCAAUCCCCAGUAUCUCUG
Molecule: transfer RNA, 70 nt
Filed under: Camelus bactrianus (Bactrian camel)
Lineage: Eukaryota; Metazoa; Chordata; Mammalia; Artiodactyla; Camelidae
Also listed under: 2 other names
Rfam family: tRNA
About the family: Transfer RNA (tRNA) molecules are approximately 80 nucleotides in length.
Source: Rfam by way of RNAcentral